Molecule: ribosomal RNA, 844 nt
Filed under: uncultured Gammaproteobacteria bacterium
Lineage: Bacteria; Pseudomonadati; Pseudomonadota; Gammaproteobacteria
Description: bacterial SSU rRNA
Rfam family: Bacterial small subunit ribosomal RNA
Source: RNAcentral
UGACGCUGGCGGCAGCCUCAUACAUGCAAGUCGAGCGAGAACGUUACUUCGGUAGCUAGUAAAGCGGCGGACGGGUGAGUAACGCGUAGGAAUCUACCUUUCAGCGGGGGAUAGCUCGGGGAAACCCGAAUUAAUACCGCAUACACCCUAAGGGGGAAAGAGGGCCUAUCCUUGGAAGCUCUCGCUGUUAGAUGAGCCUGCGUGAGAUUAGUUUGUUGGUGGGGUAAUGGCCUACCAAGACUACGAUCUCUAGCUGGUCUGAGAGGACGAUCAGCCACACUGGGACUGAGACACGGCCCAGACUCCUACGGGAGGCAGCAGUAGGGAAUAUUGGACAAUGGGGGCAACCCUGAUCCAGCUAUGCCGCGUGUGUGAAGAAGGCUCUAGGGUUGUAAAGCACUUUAGGUAAGGACGAAAAGAAUAUAGUUAAUACCUAUAUUCCGUGACUUAACUUACAGAAUAAGGACCGGCUAACUCCGUGCCAGCAGCCGCGGUAAUACGGAGGGUCCAAGCGUUAAUCGGAAUUACUGGGCGUAAAGCGCGCGUAGGCGGUUUGUCAAGUUGGAUGUGAAAUCCCUGGGCUCAACCUAGGAACUGCAUUCAAAACUUAUAGACUAGAGUACGAUAGAGGAGAGUAGAAUUCCUGGUGUAGCGGUGAAAUGCGUAGAUAUCAGGAGGAAUACCAAUGGCGAAGGCAACUCUCUGGAUCGACACUGACGCUGAGGUGCGAAAGCGUGGGUAGCAAACAGGAUUAGAUACCCUGGUAGUCCACGCCGUAAACGAUGAGAACUAGCCGUUGGAUCUUAGAUUCAGUGGUACAGCUAACGCAUUAAGUUCUCCGCCU